UUUUUAAAUUGAGAGUUUGAUCCUGGCUCAGGAUGAACGCUGGUGGCGUGCCUAAUACAUGCAAGUCGUACGCU
This 74-nucleotide ribosomal RNA is filed under the name Oenococcus oeni. Its description in RNAcentral is "partial 16S ribosomal RNA". It matches the Rfam family "Bacterial small subunit ribosomal RNA", at positions 1 to 70 of the family's 1533-position model. The record is from RNAcentral. Lineage: Bacteria; Bacillati; Bacillota; Bacilli; Lactobacillales; Lactobacillaceae.